CUGCAGAUCCGCCAUCGUCCGCGUCUUUCGCGCGCUCCGCCCGCGGCUAUCUGCGGUUGCGGAUCUUAGCCCAUGGUUGUGCUCUGUUGUGGAUUGGAUUAAGGGUGCAAGACGCCACUGGCGAUUGAGCGGGCGAGCAGCUGCAGGCGCCAUGUGCGUGGCGGCUGAUGCGGGAACAUGAGCAGUCGAGCGAGGACGAGGAUUUGCCAGCCAGCCGGAGGCCACGAUCGACAUGUACAACGGCGGAAAGGCGGCCAUGGUCAGUUGGGUGGGAUGCGCGAGAAUCUGCAGCGCGACGGAAGUGCAGCGGCCAAGAAUGGAAGCGCCUUUGGAGAUGAAGGAUUUACUCCAUAUCUUCGUUUCAUCCACGUCAAGCUGACCCGUAAAGGAAACCCAUGCUCUUACCUGAGGAUUCAGUCCAUAUUCAGGUGCGCCCUUUCCUUAACGAACUAUGGAAACUCACUGAGUCAUUGUGAAUAAUCACAAAAUCCAAAAUCCUGAUUUGGCAUAUUAAAACUUGUGUGCACAUCCUUCUUAUUUAUGGGACUGUGAAUAUAGAACAACAUUGGAGCUGAUAUAAUCAUGGCUCUUGACGAUGUUGUGAAGACCACAAUUACUGGCCUCCUGAUCUGAUCCCCUUGGCUGUGUCCACUGUUUGCCAAAGUAAAUUUGUAGCGAGAAGCUGCUAAAGAAAGGAGAAAAGGAACAUACCGGCCUCGAUCUUUUAUUUAGGUAGGCAGCUAGAGCCUAAUGUAUGAAAGAGGAAUUAGCAUGAGGCAGCGAAGGGCAUAGCAUCUCCGCAGAUGGAGAGAGAACACAAAGAUUUUUUUGGCGGCGCUAUGCAAAUUAUCAGGCAAUAUAUUAACAUAUGAUAAUUUUUUUUCCACGAAGAGUGCUUGGACCUGGUCUUAUGUUAGAAAAUUCUUAGUUUUUGGUCAGAUCUGGAUCCAGUGGGCAUGCCUAUCAGCGUCAUCGGUUCUCCUUGUCUUUAGACUUGCUUUCAAGAUACUCGACUAGGAUCUCUUGCUAAUGAGGUGCAGCCUUUCCUCUCUGCCUGAUCAUGUACUUUGCAUUUAUGUGUGUUGCCAGGCUGUCCCUUUCUUGAGGCUUUACUAUUGGAUUUCAAUAUAUGUCUCUUUUUCAUUGAUUAAGUUGAUACAAAUAACAUUGAUUUUGUGUCUACUUUUUUGAAGAAAUACUCUCAGAUUGCUUGAAAUGAUGGGGUGGCUGACCAUUUGCAUAUUCUGCAAUUUUCUUUUGAUUUGGAUAUCUGCAGUACUUCUCAUUGUCUUCUUAUAUCGUCACUGUGAUGGAACUAAAUACCACUCGCACCUGUGUGCACGUCUGAUGUUUUUCUGCAUAUUAUGUAGCUGGUAAUACUGACCAAAUUUAAUCGAUAGUUCUACUUGAUAUUAUGGUGCAUUCUCAUUCAUCUCAAUAUAUAUCAUUAACUGAUGUUAUGACCCAUCUUGUUUGAUGGUCUGGGCUAUUACCUUGCUUGCUCCAGACCCAUUUGAUUAUUGUCUGACUCCUAAUUUACUAUUGUUUAUCAGGGUUCAGGCAAGUACCUAGCAGAUAUGGGUCAAGUGAUGAUGAUUAUGCGGAUUCGGAUGACACUACACCUGAACACCAAAUUAUCGGUCACCUGUUCUGCAUCUCCGGGUCACAUAUGGGCACAGGACCUGUUACAACAAAUACUUCACCACCGGGCUGGAAAAAUUUGGGUACAUUCUGGACAAUGUAAGAUGUUGAAUGACAAUACACCCGUAUUAUUUUGGGUGUUAUGUGGUGUCAGAUUAUGCGAGCAUCGGAAUUUUGAACAAAAAUAGUGGCCUUAGGGUCCUCAUAAUGGAGAUAAUAUCCAGUCAAGCCCGGUCGACUAUGCGAGCCCUCGGUUCUGAGGUAGCUCCAUUAUUUGUGUGCCUUGCUUUUCUUGUCCAUGUUGCCUUGCCUUGAUGGUAUGAACCCAGCCAUAUGGUAUCAGGAUGGUCUUAAUUCUAUUAUGGGUUUGAUUUUUGAGUAUAAUUUUAUGAUUAGACCUAGGCCUGAAACUAUUAGAAGAGUUGUUCCAGAUCUAAAACUAUUAAAAGAGCUAUAUAUGGUACCUAUUUCUGGGAGCAGUGAGGUUCCUGUUUCUGUUCCAGGUAUGAAACUAUUGUCGUUGAUGCCAUUUAUUUAAGAGCUAACCCCAUACACAAUACAAUUUUAGAUAUGAAGUUUUAGUUUCAGUUUCAGGCUAAGAAAAUGAACUUUUGUUCAUAAUAUGUUAGCAACUCUAAAACAUGGAGAGUUGUUCAUCGUGAAUUUAUCUGAAUAAAAUGAGGCAUCUAGCUUGGGUUCAUCUAAAAAAGUACAUUAUGAUGCUAAUAACAUAGUACAGUUUAUACAUUGUUUGGAUGAUGCUUGCAUUAGAAAAUUCAUGUGCAUCAAGGAGUUCAUUUCUUGGAUGAUGUUUGUGCUGAAUACCAUGUCACACCACAAGAGCCUGAGGCCGUGCUGAUUGUUUGCCUUUUUUGUUUCAGACAGCUAGGCAUUACUAAUUUUGGUUUAUGAAUCACUCCCUCAUCUAAUAAAAAAUUCCUGGCUGUUUUGAGAUAAUUUACACAUGCAAAUUUCAUGGACAUGAUCUGAUAGAAUCAAAUAGCACUUCAUGAAGACAGGCUUGUUUCAUGUCCUAAUGUACUUUCUAUGCCAAGUAUUUUACCCGCUGAAUUCAUUUUGAGUCUUUCUGUUGUAGUUGUAGCACUUCAUGAAGACAGGCUUGUUUCAUGUCCUAAUGUACUUUCUAUGCCAAGUAUUUUAUCUGAUGAAUACUUUUUGAGUCUUUCUGUUGUAGUUGUACCACUUCAUGUUGUGCAUGAUACUACUGUAGGACAAUGAUGAUAUCUUCUUGGCCAUGUGAUCUUGACUUGCAAGGUUUAGGAAAUUCACUGUGAUAUUUUUACGAUUUUAGAACCUCGAUACAUCCCAUCUCUCUCAUGAUAUCUACACCUUCUCCUUCCAUGAAAUUUACUUAAUUUGGAAGAGGACACAUAUAAAAUCUGCUAAUCGGUGAAAUAUUAGACACGCAUGUCCAGAAUUAAGCAGACAAUUCUAGAUAUUCUUGGCUAUUUUUGUUCUGGUAGAAAUAGAUAAGCCUAUCCAUUCUGAAAUGUACUUGGCACAAGGAAAUUCUUUUGAUUAAAGAAAAGUUUCUGCCUUAUCAGAGGUCUACUUAAUUUUUAUCUGUUAGUGGUAGUAUUUUAAAUGUAACCGAGUUACUGCUGAGUUCAUAAUAUUUGGAAAAAUGUUGAAUGCUUAUUUUAUCAGCAACAACUUCUAAUAUGCACUCUUUGUAAGGUGUUCACGAUAUCUUGCAUCGGCACUUGAGCCAGUACUGUUCCUUUGCUCUAUGUAUCAUCACAUUUGAGAAAUUUUCCCGGUUGAUGUCAUGGUGUUACCUUAUUGGUAUGCCGACAUGGGUUGUGAUUUGCGAGGAGAGACCGAGACAGAAGGAGAGUUGGGUAGAGGAAGGGCAAGGGAGGACAUACCACGAUCUGCAAGUACCAUGGAGGCUGAUGAUGAACAUGCGUGUGGACCCCUCUUUGUACCUAUGCAACAUCCUAGGCUUCUUUGGCUUAGAUGAAGGAGAAGACUUUUGUUGCCGCUCCUUUCCCCUGCCCACGCUGCAGCUAAUCGAAAAGAACGCAGCCUGAUCAUUGGUUCAAACCGUUCAAGGUUUAAAGGUCAUGUUCUACAUGUUACGGUGCCUUCGGUUCGUAACGGUGAAGCCAAUGGACAUGCAGUUCAGCUGGCGGAUAACAUAUUUGGCAAGGAUACACCACUUGUCCCAGAAAUAGUUGUCGAACAUUUGCCUAUAUAUGCUAAGUGAUAAAAAGUGGGUCAUUCUUCACUGAUCACUUUUGCAUAUGUUCAACAUGAAUCGACAAAAGAUAUACAUGCAGAUAUGGAACAAACCCUAUGGAAGACGUGACCAAUGCAGAUGGCAAGAAAAACAUCACUUAAUUCCCUCUAAGGAGAGUUGCCUAAUAGGUAGCACAGGUCACCAAUAGCUGUUUUCUUCCUGCUAUCUACGUGCCGUGGGAUAUUAGAGUUAUGUUCCUCUCUUUUGCUAUGGUAUUGUGCUAUGAAUCAAGCGUCCGAUGCAAUGGUUGUCUUCUGCAUCUCUUCUGGGUUGUGCAAAGAGACAUGUGUAUAUUCAUGGUUUACUACCUGUCUGCUCCGCUCUCAUUUUUAGUUCUUUGUAGUUUGUACUACCUCUCAUACUCUGUUUGGAGAAAAGACUUUCUAGGUGUGCUUAAAAUUUAUAAGAAAUGGAUUAUCA
Long non-coding RNA from Lolium rigidum, 4324 nucleotides. RefSeq lists it as uncharacterized. The transcript has 9 exons. Lineage: Eukaryota; Viridiplantae; Streptophyta; Magnoliopsida; Poales; Poaceae. The record is from RefSeq and is a predicted model, not a curated record.